UCUACGUCUUGUUGCCUCUUCUCGGCAUCCAGUGUUAGAUGGAUAAGUGGACAGGUCGUUUAGUCUUUUCCAAGACAACAACACGACAUUUUAUAUGUUUUUAUUUCUUGAUGUAUAUAGCGGAUACGACGUGUACACCUGUGGCGUGAUGUACGUGGAGUCCCUUGGGAAAUAGUUGGGACAUUCCACCCCAUUUCUGCUGGAGUUAUCCUCUGGACUUGAUGAGAACCACCGGUCAUCAGGGGCACCUGCGUGGCCGACUUCGAGUCAUCGUAGUGCGUGGAUUCUCCUGGAUGCAGAUCCCUGAUGGCUGAUCGGGCAGCUUACGUGAUAACUGGCGUGACCCGGAAAUAAACACGUCCAUCUAAGACUGAAAGGUCACGGGCCUGAGAUGAGAAGCCCAGACUUCUGCUGAGACAGUCUCUCAAACAUAUCAUGGGUCAUUCCCAGAGGCUUCCUACCAGUCAGAUGUGCCCUGAACAUCUUCCCAGAUGGUCAUCCUGACCAGACGCCCGAGCCACCUCAUCUGGCUCCUCUCAAUGUGGAGGAGCAGUGUCUCUAGUAAAGAGAUGGUCCCGGAUAACAGCGCUUCUCACCUUGUCUCUAAGGGAGAGCCAAGCCACCCUACGCAGAAACCCCAUUUCAGCUGCUUGUACCUAAGAUCUUGUCCAUUCAGUCACUACCGACUUGACCAGUAAAUGGAGAGCCUCGCCUUUUGAGUCAGCUCCCGCUUUACCGCUACAGAGUGGUGCAGAGUCUGCAUCACUGCUGACGCCGCACCAAUCCGCCUGUCCAUCUCGUGUUUCGUCGUUGCCUCACUCGUGAAUAAGCCCCCAAGGUACUUAAAAAAAGGUGCCGGAUCUACACCCUUUUCUUGGCAAGAACCUUGGACUCUGACUUGGUGGGGCUGAUAUGGCCACAGAUUUCAUUCUAAAUCAACAUUAUUUUUGUUUCAAUUCUUAUUUUAGUGUACAAAAAGCCUCUCUGCUAAUAAAUACCAGGUACCCUCUAGAGUUGAACAAAUAAACCACAGCUGCAAUAUGAGGACAAACUGCUUGCUAAAUGUGUAACAGAAAGGCGGACACAAAAUGAAAGACAGAUAAAAAAGGCUAUUUAACUGGUAACCAUUGGAAGAUAUGCAUACUACUGUAAUGAACAAACUGACCUAAAAAAAGAAUAAAUACCACCUGAUGCAAAUCCUCUCUCUUUGCACUGCAAGGCCAAACAAUGUGUCUGUAGUUAAGACUCGCACAGCCCACACAGCAAGCACACAUGUAACAAAACACUAUUUACAGAAAAAGGCUACAGAAAUAAAAAUGGUUCCCUCGAUGAACUGCAGCUCUCACGGCAUAGAUGACAUUAAACACAAGUGUUUAUGUGCUUCCAGGAAAUGAAGAAUGUUCUCUACAAUGCUGUGGCGUGCACAAUGUUUGAAUGUUAUGUUAGGAUAAAUGAAUGGCUAAAAGCGUCUAGUGAGUAUACUUAGAUGAACUGAGAGAAGAUAGCAUGUGCAUGAGAACACAACAGAUGGCAGGACUGCAUGGUCAUUUUUUAAAAGCUGAUUUGACACUACCAUGAUAUGUUUUCACUAGAUAUGUGAUAUGAGGCGUUGGAAAUGCUGACAUCAUGCACACAACUUACUCACCAUACUAUGCGAGGCAGUACUUUGAGAUGGGAUAUCUACGGCUCUAACCAAGGCCUGUA
Doryrhamphus excisus (bluestripe pipefish) is the source of this 1704-nucleotide long non-coding RNA. RefSeq lists it as uncharacterized. NCBI's taxonomy places the organism in Eukaryota, Metazoa, Chordata, Actinopteri, Syngnathiformes, Syngnathidae. The record is from RefSeq and is a predicted model, not a curated record.